Molecule: long non-coding RNA, 2707 nt
Filed under: Sus scrofa (pig)
Lineage: Eukaryota; Metazoa; Chordata; Mammalia; Artiodactyla; Suidae
Description: lncRNA (ENSSSCG00065071249.1)
Source: RNAcentral
AUUUCCUCAGUGUCUAAGCCUAUUUUUAAGCGAUUAAGCAAUGCUCUGGAAAAAAAGUAAAAUCUCAUUGAGAACAGUGGGAGCUGUUACUGUAUAGCUACUAUUAGCAUUACCACCACGACUGUGCGGGGAGUUUUUCAUCAUUUGCGCAUAGGACCCUGCUCCACAAAGGCGAGCUGGACGAAGACUCUCCAUAGUGGAGUGUUCAAUCCAAGUGUAUUUCAGGAUCUUGAGAUGAAGAGAUGGCCUUGGAUUAUGAAUUAUCUGGGUAGGUCCCAAAUCCACUUGUAACUGGCUUUUUUUUUUUUUUCUUUUUUUCUCUUUAGGGCUGCACCCGUGGUAUAUGGAGGUCCCCCGGCUAGAGGUUGAAUCUGAGCUGCAGCUGCUGGCCUUCACCACAACCACAGCAAUGCUGGAUUGGAUCUGCACCUGCAACCUAUGCUGAUGGCAAUGUAGGAUCCAGCUCGUGGCAAUGCUGGAUUCUUAACCCACUGAGCAAGGCCAGGGAUGGAACCUGCAUCCUCAUGGAGACUAUGUCAGGUUCUUAACCUGCUGAGCCACAAUGGGAACUCCUGUAACUGUCUUUACAGUAAGAAGGACGCAGAAUGAUCGUGGAGGCAGAGGUGGCCAGGACGGGGCCACAAGCCAAGGAAUGUGGGUGUCACCAGGAGCCGGAGGAGGCCAGGAAGGGAGACUCUCCCCAGCCUCUGGUGGCUGACACUGCUGCAGACUGCUGGCCUCAGGAACUGAAAGAGGCUACGUCCCUGUUGUUUGAAGCCACCGAAUUCAUGGUCAUUGGUUCCAGCAGCCCCAGGGUGAUAAUGAGGGACCAUCCUCUCAAAGUCUGUUAGGUUUUGGCAGGACUGGCCGGCUGGAGGGUGAGGAGGAAGAAAGGGAAAAGAAUUGGCCUGCCAGGUCCAGCCUGUGGCUGGUCAGUGAUUUUCCUUGGGAUGUUAAUACCCGUCAUACCCCGUCUUACCUGCGGGCUGGAGACUGCAUUUUGUCUGAGUGGCUCAUGCUUCAGGGUCACGGGGAGCCCCAGGCGGGGCAGGCUGAAGCUGGUCAUGGGGCCACAAGAAGAGGCUCCAUGGGUUGCAGCCUGAAGUCUGGUGCUUGAAAGGGGAGCUGAAACAGGUAGGGGCUGUCUGGCCAUGGGCACUUCGGGAGUCUGAGCCAUGAUCCUCCGAGGCAGUGUGUCCCCAGUUCCCGUCAGCUUUCGGAGCUCACCAUCCCUCAGGGCUGCACAUCUCAUCUUCAGUAACUGAAAUCUCUUCCUUCAGUUGAAUCUAAAUCCACCUUCAUGGAGACUCCACAAUAGGCUCUGGUUUUACUUUGCUUUUUUUUUUUGGCUGCACUGCUGCCAUGUGGAAGUUCCCAGGCCAGGGACUGAACCUGUACCACAGCAGUGACGAUGCCAAUCCUUAACCACUAAGCCACCAGAGAACUCCUGGUUUUACUUCUUGCUGCAUGUAAAAUAGGGCUCAUUCUUAUACAUGAAAGCUCUCUUCAAAUCUUUGAAGGCAUUUUUUUCUCCUUUUUCCCUUACCAGGCAAAGCACUCCACAGUUCUUCAACUCUGGCGCUCUGGAAGAGUAUUCUUUCUAUGGCUGGUGGCCAGUCCCUCCUCUAGGCAUGCUGUCUUCCUCUGCCUCCCAGAGAAGCUCAAGCGGUGCACCAGAGCUUCAGAUAUGGUCUGCUCAAGCACGCAGGAGUCAUUGUCUCCUGGGGAAGCUCACACAGUGCACCAGAGCUUCAGCCCCAGCCAAACCUGAUCGUGAAGCAGCUUCUGGCCCGCAGGUCGCUGUGCUCCCUCUUCUCGUCUCUUGGCUGGAAGCGCAGAUUUGGGUUCUGUUCCUGACUCAGUCCAAGUGCCAGGUUGGUCAACAAGAGGAAGGGUCCUUACUGGGGACUAAAGGCCAGUGUACACAGACACCUACCUCCGUUACUUCUCACCUCCACAGCCACCCUGCGCGGCGGACACCACAUCCUGCAUCUUACAGGUGAUGGAGUCAAGGCUCAGUUCACUAGCUUUCCUAGCGCCAGAGAGUAACACGCCCAGGGUUUAGCCCAAAUGAUUUUGAAGCUGUAGCAGAGGAGGUAGGGCCCCCUGGACCUCUGCAGCCUGGUGCUCACCCUUCCGUGUGCUGCCCGGAGCUGGUUAGUUGGCAUGAAAUGGCUUAGCCUCAGGACUGAGGCUCUCAUGUCACACAUGCCAGGGAGCCAGUGCAGCCUUCGUGGUGACAAAUGUGGGAGAUCCUUGGGCCCAACACCUCUUCACGAAGUGCCUUCUGGGCCUCUUAGGCCAAAAGCCAGAACCAGGAUGGAGUGACAGAAGCCUCCGAAUAGGUCCAGGGGAGCUGGAAUAAACCUUUCAAGAUGAAAAGUCCUGAGUGCAUCAUUUAUAAUUACACCUGUUUCCUUUGCUCAGUUCUAACAGUCAACCUAUUGACGAGGAAUUUUGCCGUCUUCCUCCUCCUCGUCAUCAUGCUAUCAGGAUCUGCUCCUCCCUGUCCACUCCCCCAAAGGGUUCUCAUGACAGUUGGUUUCACCCCACCACUCAGAGGAGGAGGUGUAUUUCAAUGAGCUCCCCGCUUCCCCUUCUCCCCACACCCUGCCACCACCUUCAUGAAUUUUGCUGAAAUCCUAUUUCUGGGGGACAGAGAUGAAUGCUGUGUAGUUAUCUGAUUAAACUGCCUCUUGUUUAAAUC